RNAcentral lists this transfer RNA (72 nucleotides) under Bos taurus (domestic cattle). It matches the Rfam family "tRNA". Rfam says of the family: Transfer RNA (tRNA) molecules are approximately 80 nucleotides in length. Their secondary structure includes four short double-helical elements and three loops (D, anti-codon, and T loops). The record is from Rfam by way of RNAcentral. Lineage: Eukaryota; Metazoa; Chordata; Mammalia; Artiodactyla; Bovidae. RNAcentral also lists the same sequence under 5 other names.
UCCCUGGUGGCUCAAACAGUAAAGAAUCUGCCUGCAAUGCAGGAGACCCAGGUUCAAUCCCUGGGUUGGGAA